RNAcentral lists this unclassified non-coding RNA (367 nucleotides) under uncultured bacterium. RNAcentral's name for it is "contains 16S-23S intergenic spacer region". The record is from RNAcentral.
UCUCCCGCAAGGGAGCAGUCUCGCCUGACCUAAAAAGGUAACAGACAACGAGGGUUGCGUUCGUUACCCCACUGAAGGGAACAGUUCAAACCACGAACUGACGACGACCAUGCAUCACCUGUCCAGCACCCUCGAAGGCUCCUCGACUUUCAUCAAGGAUGCAGCUGGAUUUCUAACCUUGGUAAGGUUCUUCGUUAGUCAUCGAAUUGAGCCACAUAAUCCACCGCUUGUGCGAGUCCCCGUCUAUUCCUUUGAGUUUUAAGCUUGCGCUCGUACUACCCAGGCGGCUUGCUUAUCGCGUUAGCUUAGUCUCGCAGAGGGUCGAUACUCCGCGAAACGAGCAAGCAGCGUUGAGGGCCAGGACUAC